UACGGGGGGGGCGAGCGUUGUUCGGAAUUACUGGGCGUAAAGGGUUCGUAGGUGGCCUGCUAAGUCAGACGUGAAAUCCCUCGGCUCAACCGGGGAACUGCGUCUGAAACUAGUGGGCUUGAGUGCAGGAGAGGAACGCGGAAUUCCAGGUGUAGCGGUGAAAUGCGUAGAUAUCUGGAGGAACACCGGUGGCGAAGGCGGCGUUCUGGACUGCAACUGACACUGAGGAACGAAAGCCAGGGGAGCAAAC
This 250-nucleotide ribosomal RNA is filed under the name uncultured bacterium. Its description in RNAcentral is "partial 16S ribosomal RNA". It matches the Rfam family "Bacterial small subunit ribosomal RNA", at positions 524 to 773 of the family's 1533-position model. The record is from RNAcentral.